GUGGGGAAUCUUCCGCAAUGGACGAAAGUCUGACGGAGCAACGCCGCGUGAGUGAUGAAGGUCUUCGGAUUGUAAAGCUCUGUUAAUCGGGACGAAAGAGCCUAGUGUGAAUAAUGCUAGGAAGUGACGGUACCGGAAUAGAAAGCCACGGCUAACUACGUGCCAGCAGCCGCGGUCAUACGUAGGUGGCAAGCGUUGUCCGGAAUUAUUGGGCGUAAAGCGCGCGCAGGCGGAUCUGCCAGUCUGUCUUAAAAGUUCGGGGCUUAACACCGUGAUGGGAUGGAAACUACAGGUCUAGAGUAUCAGAGAGUAAAGUGGAAUGCCUAGUGUAGCGGUGAAAUGCGUAGAUAUUAAGAAGAACACCAGUGGCGAAGGCGACUUUCUGGACGAAAACUGACGCUGAGGCGCGAAAGCCAGGGGAGCGAACGGGAUUAGAAACCCUGGUAGUCC
RNAcentral lists this ribosomal RNA (450 nucleotides) under uncultured bacterium. Its description in RNAcentral is "partial 16S ribosomal RNA". It matches the Rfam family "Bacterial small subunit ribosomal RNA", at positions 354 to 796 of the family's 1533-position model. The record is from RNAcentral.